RNAcentral lists this ribosomal RNA (524 nucleotides) under uncultured bacterium. Its description in RNAcentral is "partial 16S ribosomal RNA". It matches the Rfam family "Bacterial small subunit ribosomal RNA", at positions 28 to 523 of the family's 1533-position model. The record is from RNAcentral.
GACGAACGCUGGCGGCGUGCCUAAUACAUGCAAGUCGAACGAAGCUGUUUUAACUGGUGCUUGCACCGACUUAAACAACUGAGUGGCGAACGGGUGAGUAACACGUGGGUAACCUACCCCAAAGCGGGGGAUAACAUUUGGAAACAGAUGCUAAUACCGCAUAACCACAGAAACCACAUGGUUUCUGUGUCAAAGAUGGUUUCGGCUAUCACUUUGGGAUGGACCCGCGGCGUAUUAGCUAGUUGGUAAGGUAAUGGAUUACAAAGGCAAUGAUACGUAGCCGAACUGAGAGGUUGAUCGGCCACAUUGGGACUGAGACACGGCCCAAACUCCUACGGGAGGCAGCAGUAGGGAAUCUUCCACAAUGGACGAAAGUCUGAUGGAGCAACGCCGCGUGAGUGAAGAAGGUUUUCGGAUCGUAAAACUCUGUUGUCAGAGAAGAACGUGUGCGAGAGUAACUGCUCGUGCAGUGACGGUAUCUGGCCAGAAAGCCACGGCUAACUACGUGCCAGCAGCCGCCGUAA